This 516-nucleotide ribosomal RNA is filed under the name uncultured bacterium. RNAcentral describes it as "bacterial SSU rRNA". It matches the Rfam family "Bacterial small subunit ribosomal RNA", at positions 8 to 518 of the family's 1533-position model. The record is from RNAcentral.
AGAGUUGAUUAUGGCUCAGGAUGAACGCUAGCGACAGGCUUAACACAUGCAAGUCGAGGGGCAGCAUAAAAGUAGCAAUACUUGGUGGCGACCGGCGCACGGGUGAGUAACGCGUAUGCAACCUACCUAUCAGAGGGGAAUAACCCGGCGAAAGUCGGACUAAUACCGCAUAAAACAGGGGCACCGCAUGGUGAUAUUUGUUAAAGAAAUUCGCUGAUAGAUGGGCAUGCGUUCCAUUAGGUAGUUGGUGAGGUAACGGCCCACCAAGCCGACGAUGGAUAGGGGAACUGAGAGGUUGGUCCCCCACACUGGUACUGAGACACGGACCAGACUCCUACGGGAGGCAGCAGUGAGGAAUAUUGGUCAAUGGGCGAGAGCCUGAACCAGCCAAGUCGCGUGAAGGAAGAAGGAUCUAUGGUUCGUAAACUUCUUUUGCAGGGGAAUAAAGUGCAGGACGUGUCCUGUUUUGUACGUACCCUGAGAAUAAGGAUCGGCUAACUCCGUGCCAGCAGCUGC